RNAcentral lists this ribosomal RNA (491 nucleotides) under uncultured bacterium. RNAcentral describes it as "partial 16S ribosomal RNA". It matches the Rfam family "Bacterial small subunit ribosomal RNA", at positions 29 to 506 of the family's 1533-position model. The record is from RNAcentral.
AGUGAACGCUGGCGGUAGGCCUAACACAUGCAAGUCGAACGGCAGCACAGUAAGAGCUUGCUCUUACGGGUGGCGAGUGGCGGACGGGUGAGGAAUACAUCGGAAUCUACUUUUUCGUGGGGGAUAACGUAGGGAAACUUACGCUAAUACCGCAUACGACCUACGGGUGAAAGCAGGGGAUCUUCGGACCUUGCGCGAUUGAAUGAGCCGGUGUCGGAUUAGCUAGUUGGCGGGGUAAAGGCCCACCAAGGCGACGAUCCGUAGCUGGGCUGAGAGGAUGAUCAGCCACACUGGAACUGAGAGACGGUCCAGACUCCUACGGGAGGCAGCAGUGGGGAAUAUUGGACAAGGGGCGCAAGCCUGAUCCAGCCAUACCGCGUGGGUGAAGAAGGCCUUCGGGUUGUAAAGCCCUUUUGUUGGGAAAGAAAAGCAGCAGGUUAAUACCCCGCUGUUCUGACGGUACCCAAAGAAUAAGCACCGGCUAACUUCGU